Molecule: transfer RNA, 63 nt
Filed under: Serratella sp. Yunnan-2018
Lineage: Eukaryota; Metazoa; Arthropoda; Insecta; Ephemeroptera; Ephemerellidae
Description: tRNA-Thr
Rfam family: tRNA
About the family: Transfer RNA (tRNA) molecules are approximately 80 nucleotides in length. Their secondary structure includes four short double-helical elements and three loops (D, anti-codon, and T loops).
Source: RNAcentral
GUUUUAAUAGUUUAAGAAAAACGUAGGUCUUGUAAGCCUAAACUGGGGCCUUCCCUUAAAACU